This 391-nucleotide unclassified non-coding RNA is filed under the name soil metagenome. RNAcentral's name for it is "partial contains 5.8S ribosomal RNA, internal transcribed spacer 2, and large subunit ribosomal RNA". The stretch from base 1 to 122 matches the Rfam family "5.8S ribosomal RNA", at positions 35 to 154 of the family's 154-position model. The record is from RNAcentral.
GAUGAAGAACGCAGCGAAAUGCGAUACUUGGUGUGAAUUGCAGAAUCCCGUGAACCAUCGAGUCUUUGAACGCAAGUUGCGCCCGAAGCCAUUAGGCCGAGGGCACGCCUGCCUGGGCGUCACACGUCGUUGCCCCCCCAUCAACUCCUUCGGGAUUGCGGGGGGCGGAUGAUGGCCUCCCGUGCGCCUCGCCGCGCGGUUGGCAUAAAUGCCAAGUCCUCGGCGACGCACGCCACGACAAUCGGUGGUUGCGAAACCUCGGUUGCCUGUCGUGUGCGGUCGUCGCGCAUCGAGGGCUCGAAAAAAUUGCCGGGUUCCGGCUCGGCUUUCAACGCGACCCCAGGUCAGGCGGGGUUACCCGCUGAAUUUAAGCAUAUCAAUAAGCGGAGGA